This 253-nucleotide ribosomal RNA is filed under the name uncultured bacterium. RNAcentral's name for it is "partial 16S ribosomal RNA". It matches the Rfam family "Bacterial small subunit ribosomal RNA", at positions 524 to 776 of the family's 1533-position model. The record is from RNAcentral.
GGCAGAGGGUGCAAGCGUUGUUCGGAAUUACUGGGCGUAAAGGGCGCGUAGGCGGUUGGAUAAGUCAGCUGUGAAAACCACGGGCUUAACUCGUGGCCUGCAGUUGAGACUGUCUGGCUUGAGUGUGGGAGAGGAGAGUGGAAUUCCUGGUGUAGCGGUGAAAUGCGUAGAUAUCAGGAGGAACACCGGUGGCGAAGGCGGCUCUCUGGGCCACAACUGACGCUGAGGCGCGAAAGCUAGGGGAGCAAACAGG